GCAAGACUCUCUGCUCAUUUUCCCAAGACUCGACUCUUGGUUCAUUCCCCCAAAAUUAACCCCCAAUUUCAUAACCCUCCAAUUCCAAACCUUCUGUGAAAUCUGAAGGAGGAAAUUAUAUUUCCACGCCUAAAGCAAGACUCUUAGGUCAUUCCCCCCAAAUUAACCCCAAUUUCAUAACCCUCCAGUUCCAAAUCUGCUGCGAAAUUUGAAGGAGCGAUUGUGAGGGAUUUGGGAUGAUUUCAUGGCUGAAGGAGAAGGAAGUGGCCGGCGAUUAGGGAUUGAGCAAAGCUGAAGGAAAGGGGACGGGAGGUCAGCUUCUACUAUCAGAUCCAGCACACAGAGCUGGCUUUGAAGUAUGUAGCUCUAAAAGUUGUCUUUGAUUGUUCAACUAUUUGUCAUUUCUCACAUUUCCUGAUGGUUUUACUCUGAUUUCCAUCUACUGUAAAUAAUUAUUGAAUGUGGGAUUUGUGAUGUUUUAGCAUGGAGUCAAAAGAUAUUGCAGUGUAUAUCCAAAAGAUAAAAUUCACAAGAUAUUGUAGUGUAGUGCUUCUAACAGAUAUAGAAAAGAAGGAAACCAAGGGAGAUUUAUAAACAGAAUACAGAGUUCUCAAUGUGCAUCACAAGUUUUUCUUUUUUCAUUUUUUUGACAGAGGCAAUGGCAUCACAAGUUUUUAAUUCUGUUCAAGUGGAUUUGCCAGUUGAAAACAUUUUGAGAUAUGCUUCAACCAUUCUACAAGAUAACAUUUCUACCGAGCGAAGUUAUAUUUGCGUUAAAACGAAAAAAAUUGGACCUUUUAGAAAAAGAGAAAUGAAAUGCAAAUGGUCACUCCAAAUUUAAAAUUCCAAUCAAGCAAAAUCUCCAAGUUUUCCUCAAAUGGUCUCUCCAAAUUUCAAUUCAUUGAAAUAUGAAUUCCAGUUAAUUCUUUCAAGGGGUACAAGAACCCAAUCUAUGGUAGAGAAGGAACUCUCAAAUAACUGAAAUGGUAUGAGCUAAUGACAUAACAAUAUAAUGUUGAAUAGGGAGCACAACGAUGUUAUUAGUUCGACCCAAAUUGUUUUUCCUGGGGUCAGCCCCCAAUCGCAUUCUUGGAUAUUCUUGAAAUAGACAUAUUGUCGGAAUAGGAGGCAAGGUGGGAAAUCCAUCCUAAAUAGGAGACCAUGAAGUUAAGUUAGGAAGAAUUUUGCAAUCCAUACGGUUUUUCAUAGAUCUCGGACGCAUAAAGAAAUAUGUACCAUUUCAGAUAUCUUUAAAAGUAUAAACCAAUAUAUAUAGAUAGUAAUAAAGAAUAUAAGUAACGAGGUAUUCCUUUCAAUCAUGUAGCAUGACAGUGCUUUGGGGAAUUCAAUAUUAUGGUUAAGAAGGAUUCCUCGUUAGUUGAUGUUCUAGAGGAAUAGGGAAUACUCUAUGAAAGAGUUCACUAGUGAAUAUCUAAGAUUGACUUUUGUCAAGUGUUGAACAUGCUUGUAGGGUUAGGAGUCUUUGACAGGAUCCAUUUUUCGAUUUCUUUUUAGUACAAUGUAUCCUUAGUUGGAUUAGUUGUGACCAAACAGUGCAAUAUCUUUCAAUAAUGCAUAUCUAGAUAUAUCUCUUAGGGAAAAAAUACAAAUAAAAUUUCACCUGCAUAAAAGUUUUGCUUACAUUUAAAAUGCAGAAUCUUGGAUUUCAAAACAUUGAGCCUGUGCCAAAUUUUCAAACAUCUAACCACAUGUCAUAAUUAAAAAACUAUUUAGAAGAUGACAAAAAAUAUUUUGCUUGAAAGAAAUAAAGUUAUUGAGGUCUUCGUAUAAAGUUGUACCAGUAUAGGUCAUAUUUCAUUAGCGAUGUGCCGUUAGAUUAUGCUAAAUAUUAGCCCUUUCAUUGAUAAUGUAUGCUUAGACGAGGCUAAUUCUUAACCCUUUGUUGCAUUAUCCAUAUGGGAAAAAUCAUUUUUCUUUUACUGCAUUAUAAACAAGAAUGUUAUAUUUAAUUUCGUUUGUACGUUCUCAUACUAUUUGUUAAAGUGUUGUUUUCAUUUGUUUUGAUUUGUAGAUGAGUAUGACACACCGAUAUAAAAUUUUGGAGGAAGAACGUGUUCCGGCUCAUGUGUUGCAGGUGAGCAAUACAAAAUACAUAUCAGUUGUCCUUAACUAAUUGGAUCCACAACAAAAGCGUCAGUUGGAGGAGAGUUGUAUAGGACAUGUUGCAAGGUUACCGGAGCUGAAACUAUCCGCUUAAUUAAUUCAUGAAAUGGUAAAUAGAUCGGUGGUCUCCAAAAGCAGUUUGAGGCUUGUUUCAAGGUGAACCAAAGGUUCACAUGAUUUGGACUACCGGAGUUCGCAUUAAUUACCGGCUUGCAGUGCGGUCUAGUGCCUACAGGUAUCGAAGUAGACAAAAUCCUAAAGAAAACCCGUCUAUAGGAAAGAACGUUUGCUAAUAUGGACCGGAUAACUUGUAGCAACCUGGAGAAAGUUUUUUUUUGAAAUGUGCCAACCGUAAUGAUCGUUACAAUCUUGGGUUGGCACUAAUUAUUGAAGGGGUAUUUAAUUCAAGAGAUUGAAAUGUAGGAAUACAUCCGACAACUCUCUCCAUCGUUGACGACUUAGAUUUCUUCAAUGCCUACCCAUGGGGAACGGUAUGGUUUCAACUUCUCAUCAAAUCACUGCUACGUGGAUGGGGAAGAAAGGCAGAGAUGGCAAAAGUGAACGAUUGUGAUAGGAUGACUUACACGUUAUACGGAUUUCCUCUUGCUGUCCAAGUAUACAUCUAUUUUGGUUCAUUUCAGUUCUUUUCAUCGCACAUUGUUAUUUACCUCCAAAUAUGGUUAUUAAUGUUAUAAAUGUCAUGCAGAUUUGGGCGUAUUAGGCAAUCCCGGACUUGGGAGCUCAAUUUUCAAGUAAGACUUGUGACGAUGUCCCAAGGAUGUUGCGGUAGUUUGGUAUGAAACAACCUCAUUCUCGAACAUAUUCAGAUUUUUUUGAGAAGACAGAUGUAAACGAUUUACAUACGUAAUUGCCUUACACAUUCGCAAUUUAUAAUAUUUCAUUUCGCCUAUUUUCCUUCCCCUAUAGGUGCACUUGUGGGUAACGCCGCGCAACUGCUGCAGAAGAAUUGCACCCGUACUUUGCUGAUUUAGUUCCGUUGGAAGAACAUAGCUGACCCCGUUCUAGAUGGUCUUGUUGCUCAAUCAAUAGAAAUACAAGCUUGUCCAGUUGAAGAUGAUGUCAUACGGAAUGAUGACAACAACCAUUGACCAAAUAAAUCGUAGAGAGGCAACAAAGGUGGACCUCGUCAUCGAGGUUUGCAUCACGUUGAAGGCAGAGAAGAAUAUUAUAGGGAUCCGAUCAUUGAAAGACCUAUGUCUUUAGAUGAGAUAAGAGCUAUCUUGAACGAACAACGGGAGGCAAUUGAGAGCAAGAUGGGCAAUUUGAUGGAAGAGAUGAACGCUAGAUUCGCUAGUCUCCAAAAUGAUCUGGGAGACCAUGUGUGUGGUUUGAGAAAUCAUGUCACUGAUAAGAUCAAUGUGCUUCGACGAAGGUUUGAUGAAGUUGCUACAGAAAUUGGGCAACACAAUCUUGCUGAUGAGUAUGGUGGAUUUGGUCAUGACGAUUGUGGUGGAGACGAGCCCCGACGUGACAGACAGGAUGUUGGAGAGGCAACCGAAUCAGUUGUUUGCAAUAUCCCUAAUGUGUCCAUAACUUCGGGAGGUGGGGUUGGCGUAUUUGGGUCAGUAUACGUUGCUUGUGAUAUUGUGAAAGAGGCACCAGCCAUUGUACCUACAGUUGGUGUGACUGUUGAUGAUCAGCCGGUUCAUGAUACUGUCGUUAUUGGACCUUUAAUGGUUGUUGAUCCACCUAUACGUAGACCUCGAUUGCUGAGGUUGAAGAAGGCUAGUGCGAACACAAAGACGCCAUACACCCGAUCUGGUCGCAAGAGGGGUAAGAGGGAUGCGUAGUCUGUGUAUUUUGGUUGACGGCACAUAAUGGUGAUUAGAUAUGAACUUCAAGUUGAUUCAAAUUUAGAGGUUCGCAUAUUUUGGUUUAUAUGGUGGUUUUGCAAUAUAUAUUUUGGUUUAUGUCAUGGUACGUAAUAUGUAUUUUGGUUUACACAGUGGUUUGCAUAUUUUUGUUUAUAUGGUGGUAUGUAAUAUUUUGUGGAUGCAAACUUAUGGUUUAUAUGUUAGUGGCAUGUUCGAAAGGUUGUAUGUUGAAAAUAUUUUAUAACUUUAUUAUCUCCUAUAGUGGACCAGUAUUAUGCAUUAAUAAAUAUUCAGACUAAUCG
RNAcentral lists this long non-coding RNA (4261 nucleotides) under Olea europaea subsp. europaea. Lineage: Eukaryota; Viridiplantae; Streptophyta; Magnoliopsida; Lamiales; Oleaceae. The record is from RNAcentral.